This is a non-coding RNA of Panthera pardus (leopard), 69 nucleotides long. The record is from Ensembl. NCBI's taxonomy places the organism in Eukaryota, Metazoa, Chordata, Mammalia, Carnivora, Felidae.
GAAGUAUUAGUAAAACAAUUACAUAACUCUGUCAAGGUUAAAUUAUAGGUUUAACCCCUAUGUACUUCC